AUGUUGUUCCAAAUAGAUGGCCAGCAGAUUCUAGCAGCUGCGACGAAGCUGAUCCAACGGAGUUCCUUUCAAAACCAUUUUCUUCACUCAGUCUGAGAGAUAGGCCAUCAUCAAGUUCAUCUUUUAGAAAUAAUUUUAUGUCCAGAAUGAGUGGAACCAAGGGCACCGGAUCGAGGCCAAGAUGGUAGUUAAUGUUGCUUAUUUAAUGACAGUGUGUGCAGCAGCAGCAGCAGUAGCAGGAGGCAAGGUCUUUCAGCUGUAUGUUGGAAAGUUGUAGCCAUUGCCAAUUUACCUGUGAUGUAGAAGAAGCAUGUCAUUUUUGUUGGUCUUUAAUUUCUUGAUGCGGCAAUUCAGUGAAACAAUUAUCGAAAUAUAUGAACCAUUUUUAUUACUUG
Non-coding RNA from Prunus avium (sweet cherry), 395 nucleotides. The record is from RefSeq and is a predicted model, not a curated record. NCBI's taxonomy places the organism in Eukaryota, Viridiplantae, Streptophyta, Magnoliopsida, Rosales, Rosaceae.